ACGGAGGAUGCAAGCGUUAUCCGGAUUCAUUGGGUUUAAAGGGUGCGUAGGCGGCUUUUUAAGUCAGUGGUGAAAUCUUGCCGCUUAACGGUAAAAUUGCCAUUGAUACUGAAAAGCUUGAGUACAAUUGAGGUAAGCGGAAUGUGUAGUGUAGCGGUGAAAUGCUUAGAUAUUACACAGAACACCGAUUGCGAAGGCAGCUUACUAAACUGUUACUGACGCUGAUGCACGAAAGCGUGGGGAGCGAACAGGAUUAGAUACCCUGGUAGUCCACGCCGUAAACGAUGAUCACUCGCUGUAUGCGAUACACAGUAUGCGGCCAAGCGAAAGCAUUAAGUGAUCCACCUGGGGAGUACGAUCGCAAGGUUG
Molecule: ribosomal RNA, 369 nt
Filed under: uncultured bacterium
Lineage: Bacteria
Description: bacterial SSU rRNA
Rfam family: Bacterial small subunit ribosomal RNA
Source: RNAcentral